AGUUUUCUGCGUUGUUCGUCCACGGACGCACAUACAAUUGAGCCAACAUAUGAAUGCCGGGAGGCUAAUGCCGCUGUCAGUGCGAUCCCUCAAGGGGGAAACGCCAUAGCCAACGGCUCUGAUGCACGCAAGUGCAAAAGGCCACCCACCUGACCAAUCAGGUUCAAUUCAUACGUCCGAACGGCAACGUGGUUUCCGC
This 199-nucleotide non-coding RNA is filed under the name Chloracidobacterium sp. RNAcentral describes it as "6S RNA". It matches the Rfam family "6S / SsrS RNA". Rfam says of the family: E. coli 6S RNA was the first non coding RNA to be sequenced, but its function was unknown until recently. It consists of 184 nucleotides that fold into an extended hairpin structure with a large single-stranded internal bulge. The 6S RNA specifically associates with RNA polymerase holoenzyme containing the sigma70 specificity factor. Lineage: Bacteria; Pseudomonadati; Acidobacteriota; Blastocatellia; Chloracidobacteriales; Chloracidobacteriaceae. The record is from RNAcentral. RNAcentral also lists the same sequence under 1 other name.